AGAAAGCCUGUCCUACUCAGGCAGAGAGGGCCUGCUUCAGAUCCUGUUGGUCAAAGAACCCCCAUCUAUCAGGAUCCAGAAGAAGAUCUCUGCUGCAGCACCCACAUUUUGGAACUCCUUAUCUUGUAAGGAAGCUGAUGAGUUAACUCCUUCGGAAGCCUACCAGCUGCUAUUGCUGUCACACUGCAAGAAUGAGGAAAGUUACACCACAUUGUUGAAUCAUCACUUGUAAUCAACUACUAUUCCCAGAUCUUUUUCACAAGUACUACUGCCAAGCCAGCUCCAUGACUUUAUUUACAGAGCCUUGGUUCCAGCUUUAUUAAGUUCCUUUGGUUCCCUGUCCAUGGGGUUCAGGACUUCAGAAAAAUUCCUGAUGUUCUCUUUGAAAGCGAAUACAGAAUAAGAGAAUUGGAAGGGACCUUGGAGGCCUCCUAGUCCAACCUCCUGCUCAAGUAGAAAACCAUAAACCAUUCUGGACAAUCCCUUUUGAAAAUCCCCAGGGAUGGGACACACACAACUUCCAGAGCCACCAUAGAGGCCUUGUGCACUAAUGGAGAGCAGACUUUGAAGACUAAUAAAGAAGAAUAUUUGUAGUUGAGGGUUGAAAUGAGCAGUCCUUAGUGCCCUGAUGAUAUUACCUAGUCUGGGUAAUGAAACAUCUGCAAGAAAACAACCAACUUCAGGGAGCACCAAAGACACACACACACCUCUUUAAAGAGCCCAAAAAUCAGCACACAGUAUAUGCCCUGAAUGUAAAUAGGACUCCUGACAUCUGUAGAGAGUUGGGGAAAGUCCCUGUCCAAAAUGUCUCAAGAUUUGCCAGGAAGCUAACUCUGACCAAGACUGUUCAAUAUUCUGAUUAAAAUCAAGCAGUUUAAUGGGUUUUCACCUUGUGAUUCACCUGUGUCUCCUUGAGGUGAGCAGCUAAGUGAGCAAUCUGUCCAGCUUGGGGUAAACUGGUGAUUGCUAUCAUGCUUUGCUUACAUGGAUUCAGUGCUCUGGAGAAAAUGAAGUUCCUUUGGAUGCUUUACAGCCAUUCCUUGAAGCCAACAGCUAACAGCACCUGAAUUGCCCUGAAAUUCAGCUUUCCUGAUCUUGGGAGCUUGCCCGCAAAGCCCAGCUGUAAAAUUUAGACAGCAAUGAAACUAAAGAAGAUUCUCAAACCCUUUAGAGAUUGUGCAGGAUUCUGUGCCAAGCUCAGCUGUUUGGAAAGUUGACGCUGAGUGCGCAAAAUGAAUAGCCAAGUGUCCACAUUGCUGUAUGAAUAUCUUGGGCUCCUUUGCCCAAAUGUGUAAUCCUGCAGUCGAGCACAGUGCCGGUGGAAAGCAGUAUUAUCAUAAGUCAGAAGUGAACAGGUUCAAUAUCCUGCUGAAGGCCAACUUGCCAAAAUUAAGGAGCUAUUUUAAAAAAAAUGUACAAGAGCAUACAAAUAACAAAAUAGUGAUAAAAUGGAUACAAUCCAGAUACAACUAGCACUAUUAUUAUAAAAUUACUAUAUAAAAUAUACUAAACAAUACAUAAAUUGAAAAACAUUAGUAAAUAAAAAGUGCACCUAAAAACUCUGGUCAAAACCCAAAGCAUGUAAAAUAAGAAUCCAUGUAACUCUCUGCAAUAUAUUUAGCUGUAUGACAUCAAAAGCUUUUAAAAUAUCAUUGCCUUACAUAACUUGUUAAAUUGUCUGGAAACCAUGCCUGCUGAAUUUUACUAGCAAGACACAUCAGCAAACUUCAGUGACAAAUCAUCAAACUUUGAUACAAAAUAGGAGGAAGCUCUGGGAAAUUUACUCUAAUAUUUCUUCAUUCUGUACUAAGGAUAAAUGAAAUUUGUUGUUGUUAGUUGCGAAGUCGUGUCCGACCCAU
Long non-coding RNA from Crotalus tigris (Tiger rattlesnake), 1859 nucleotides. RefSeq lists it as uncharacterized. The transcript has 7 exons. The record is from RefSeq and is a predicted model, not a curated record. NCBI's taxonomy places the organism in Eukaryota, Metazoa, Chordata, Lepidosauria, Squamata, Viperidae.